This is a long non-coding RNA of Panthera uncia (snow leopard), 2868 nucleotides long. RefSeq lists it as uncharacterized. The transcript is spliced from 3 exons. NCBI's taxonomy places the organism in Eukaryota, Metazoa, Chordata, Mammalia, Carnivora, Felidae. The record is from RefSeq and is a predicted model, not a curated record.
UUCAUCUUACCAAGUGGUGUAGUCCCUGGAGAAACUCAGGUGUAAAAGGUGCUAGGAAGCCCAGAAUUCUAGGUUGAGUUUAGGCAUCAGUAAGCCAGGUGUGACCAUGCUCAAAAUGAGGAAAUUUGUUAGCGGGGAAGAAGCUGGCAGGUGCUUUAUUUUGAUAGAGGUCACGUGCAGGUUUCUUUCCAAAACUCCUCCCUACCUAUUUUCUCAUUAGAAAUCAGCCAUACACAUGAAGGCCACAGCAAACCAGAGGAUCCCAUUGGGUAUCUAGUCCCUGCACCUGUUCUCCCAUCUCACUGGUCCUUCUUCCAGAGUGGCGUUGCAUGGAAAAUGGCAAGAAUCUGCAUUCAUUCUCUGACUCAGAAAGAGCCAUGGUGAACACACAGCGAGAAGGCAGCAGUCUAUGCGCCAGGAAGUGGCUUCUUACCAGGAACAGAAUCUGCCAACCCCUUGAUCUUGGACUUUCCAGCUCCCAGAACUAGGCUGGAGGAAGGAAGCCUGGCAUUCAAGGUAAAGGUUUUCCUUGGAAAAUUGUUUUGGAUACCCACCGGCAUAGGAAGAAUUAUUGAUGGAAGUCUCAAAUGUCUAGGUCUGAUCAUGUAGCUUAAAUACAUUAAAAAUGUAAAUGCGUUAAAGUUGGUGCUGUACCCAAAGAAUCAUAAUUUUGUUUAAUGGAACUUCUUAAUGAACCCUCCAAUUAACCAAAUUGUAUCCUAGAUAAUUGAAUACAUUGCUUGCUACAUAUAUUUAAACAUUGGUUAAAUUUAGAGGAAUGUUUACAACAUUAAUGAUCUGGAUGUAGAAAUCUCAAUCUACUCAGUCAAAGACUAAUUAGCCAGAGGGUAGGUUUUCUAUAAAGCCUUGACCUAGUUCAUGCCAGUAAGAUAAUUUUAUCAGCACAUAGAAUGUUUCUUUCCAAUGUAUGAGUAAGAAGAAACGGGAGGUGUUCAGUUCACCAAAAAUAAAUACCAAGUCGUUAAGGUGCAAGUUAAUGAGAAGUGGGGCAAAACACAUCCCUAUUUCACCCACUGGAAAGAUUCACCAAACAAUACUUGAUGGUCUUGAUGUUCACCGUAGUUUUGCAUACGUCUCAACAGAGAUGGACGUGUUGAGUUUACACAGGGUUACGAAGCCAAAAGGUAAGCCAAGGUCAAUAAUACUAACAAUCUUAAGCAAUUCCUGACACGCUUCUCCUGAAGGCAAUAAAGAGUGGACCAAAAUCAGUAGUGAAAUAACUAUACCAAAAAGUUCUGCUCUGCGUGGCAAUUUAUUCUGGGAAAUCCAUUCUUGAGUCAUCAAAAAAGAAAAUGGGAACAUAUUUCCAAUGGCAUGUCUGAUGACAAAUAGUUCCAAAAAUUUGGGGGAAUGGACGCUCUUUUAUUUUUCUUUAAAUAGGGGCUUUAUAUGUCUGAGCCUCCCCAGAUGGGAUAUUUUUAGCAAUCUUCUGUGCAUAAGAGUAGUUAAAGCCUCAGGAGUGGCUUUGCUAGACCUUAAGGAAGAUGAGAAGAGGGCUGAGGAAGGAACAUUGAGAAUCACCAACAUUUCAGCAUGAGAAGAGGAAGAGGUCCCACCCAGAGAGAGAAAAGGGAGAAUACAGAAAGGCAGAAAGAGACAUCACACCCCUACUUGCAGCCAGAAAAAUCGAGUGGGAGACUAGUGCAGAGGCCAUUGAACUUGGGAAGGAGCAACUUCUUUACAUUGUCAGGAGUUAAUUCAGCAGCAGUGGUUAUCUUAUUUGUUACUAAGGUGCCGCCACUGAGCAGGUGAUUUCUGUACAGCCCUCACCACAACCACCAGCCUUCAGAUGAGGAAAGUUAGGUUGCAAAGAACUUGAUGAAUCUGUCUAUGAUAAUAUUCAUUUAUUCAUUCAGUAAAAAGCAAAACAAAACCAUGAUGUGAUCUCUACUCUGAAGGAACUGACACUUCAAUUUUUCUGCUUUUGAAUGAAUAAGGAAAAGGGAAAGACGAGAAGACGAGGAAGAGGGGCAACCUGGGUGGCUCUGUUGGUUAAGCAUUCGACUCUUGAUCUCGGCGCAGGUCAUGAGCUCAUGGUUUGUGAGCUUGAGCCCCACAUGGGGCUCUGUGCUGACAGCCUGCUUGGGAUUCUCUCUCUCCCUUUCUCUCUCUGGGUGUUCUUCCCCUGUUCACGCUCUCAUUCUCUCUCUCUUUCUUUCUCUCAAAAUAAAUAAACUUAAAAAAAAAAAAGAGGAAGAGAGAGAGAGGGAAAGGGGGAAAAAUCGAAGUUUUGAUUUUUGUCUCGCAUAAUUUUGGCGUGAUGGCAGACAGAAUGAAAAUGGUCUCAGAAAAGAUAUGAAAGACAGGGAGAGGAGAUGGAGUGAUGUCCCAUAAAUGAAGUAAAAAGUAAUGGAUUUUGGGGCGCCUGGGUGGCUCAGUCGGUUAAGCAUCUGACUUCAGCUCAGGUCAUGAUCUCACGGUCUGUGAGUUCGAGCCCCGCGUUGGGCUCUGUGCUGGCAGCUCGGAGCCUGGAGCAUGCUUUGGAUUCUGUGUCUCCCUCUCCCUCUGCCCCUCCCCUGCUCACGCUCUGACUCUGUCUUUCAAUAAUAAAUAAAUGUUAAAAAAAAAAAAAGGAAUGGAUUUAUAAAGCACAGUGGACAUUUAAGCCCCAGGAAAAAAUGUAGGGAUGUCUUUUGGGGACAGUGGCAAGGAUGCAAGUUGCAAAUACAGAUAGAUUCUGAUUUUCAGGAGAAGGGUCAGAGUUUAUGUCUCUUGUUUGUCUGUCAGAUGGAAAGGCAGUGAGGGUUCUCAUUAUGUAAAGGGUCAAUGCCAACCAGUUUUCGGCAGGGCUGGUCAUAUAUAGAGAAUUGGAACCAGAAAUGAAGAUUUUAAAGACAGGAAUAAUUC